RNAcentral lists this ribosomal RNA (411 nucleotides) under Thymosiopsis conglomerans. RNAcentral describes it as "eukaryotic LSU rRNA". It matches the Rfam family "Eukaryotic large subunit ribosomal RNA", at positions 23 to 424 of the family's 3401-position model. The record is from RNAcentral. Lineage: Eukaryota; Metazoa; Porifera; Demospongiae; Chondrillida; Chondrillidae.
ACCCGCUGAAUUUAAGCAUAUCAAUAAGCGGAGGAAAGGAAACUAACCAGGAUUCCCCCAGUAGCGGCGAGUGAAGCGGGAAGAGCCCAAGCCUGUAAUCUCCGGUGCGUUGUGCCGGCGAAUUGUAGUCUGAAGACGGGUCUUCUUGUCGGCGGAGCCUCCCGAAGUCGUCGUGGAAAGGCGCGCCUGAGAGGGUGAGAGCCCCGUGCGUGGGGACGCACCGCCGGUCAUGGCGAGGCCCGGUCGCAGAGUCGGGUUGUUUGGGAAUGCAGCCCCAAGCGGGUGGUAAACUCCAUCCCAGGCUAAGUAUUUGCACGAGACCGAUAGCGAACAAGUACCGUGAGGGAAAGAUGAAAAGCACUUUGAAAAGAGAGUCAAAUAGUGCGUGAACCCGUUAGGAGGGAAGCGCAU